GUGGUGAUAAAUACGGAUGCAAACCAUGAAAAAGAAAAAGCAAGAAACUAGAUCGGAAAAGGUUGGCGGUGUGAGCUUGCACUGGUAGCUCCUCCAUUUGAUCACCGUGUCCAAGUAGAUGUGGGUGGUUGCAAUAUCUUACGGCUCCCUUAUCUGUGCGUGCCAAGUGUUCGAUGGAUCAUUAAAAAAAGAAUGUGGAAAGGAAUCUCCAGACUCUGGGAAGAUGCUUAUCGGGAUCCAAAUCGUCUAACCUCACAUGUCACAUGCAGCUCGGCUGAUAGGGUGCAGCUGUCCGGGAUAUGGUGAGAGCAUGCAUGCAUCCC
This 323-nucleotide long non-coding RNA is filed under the name Musa acuminata (dwarf banana). RNAcentral's name for it is "long non-coding RNA (MACU_LNC001002)". The record is from RNAcentral. Lineage: Eukaryota; Viridiplantae; Streptophyta; Magnoliopsida; Zingiberales; Musaceae.